CCAGCUCACGAUCCACAAAUAGUUCAAGGAUAGAGACUCAAAAAAAAAGAGGAUACGAGUAAAUAAGCAAAACAGAUGAAGAAAUAAAAGGACCUUUUACCGACUUCAAUGGAAGAGAGUCGAGGGCUUCGACCUGCCCCGGCAACGGAUGGCGGCGUCUAGGGUUUAGGGCUUAGAGGAUGGGAAGGGAAAAAACUAGAUCACACCACGGC
RNAcentral lists this long non-coding RNA (212 nucleotides) under Elaeis guineensis (African oil palm). RNAcentral's name for it is "long non-coding RNA (EGUI_LNC071386)". The record is from RNAcentral. Lineage: Eukaryota; Viridiplantae; Streptophyta; Magnoliopsida; Arecales; Arecaceae.